GACAGAGGUGCCGAGCGUUAGGCGGAAUCACUGGGCUUAAAGCGUGUGUAGGCGGACUCGUAAGUGCUUUGUGAAAUCCCACGGCUCACCCGUGGAACUGCUUGGCAUACUGCGAGCCUUGAGCCACUUAGGGGCAACCGGAACAAACGGUGGAGCGGUGAAAUGCGUAGAGAUGUGGAGGAACACCAGUGGCGAAGGCGACUCUUUGGUCUGUAACUGACGCUGAGGCGCGAAAGCGUGGGGAGCAAACAGG
This 253-nucleotide ribosomal RNA is filed under the name uncultured bacterium. Its description in RNAcentral is "partial 16S ribosomal RNA". It matches the Rfam family "Bacterial small subunit ribosomal RNA", at positions 524 to 776 of the family's 1533-position model. The record is from RNAcentral.